UGACCUAUUUUUAGACCGACGACGUCAAUUGUCGUAGGCUACAUAUUUUCGUCACCAGAUUUAUUGUACGAUUAAGUCGAGAGUAACCCUUUGCCUAUUUCAUCGGUAAAAUAAUCGAUUGAUUGUUUAUUUGGUGUUUAUUUUGAUCGUAUGAUUAUUGAACAGCCGACAUCGGGUCCUUGUGUUAAUAAACACAAAAUGAAGCAAAAUCGACGCAUAUUCAGGAAGAUCCCGGGAGACUGGUGCUCUCGAAAUAAGCUGUUAAUCAUGAAUGAUGAGGUUUGAAGACGAUCCCGUUCGACCCAAAGUGUGUGCUGAAGUUCCUGAAACAAUUACCCAUGCCACCCAUUUAAAAUCAUCGAUUAAACCACAUAUUUCGUCGGAUUUGAUUAUUUUCCUCACCGAUUAAUCGUAAGAUUUGGUCUGGUUCGAACAAUAAUAAAAUUUAAUAAAUCGAUCAAACCACAU
Molecule: long non-coding RNA, 468 nt
Organism: Armigeres subalbatus
Lineage: Eukaryota; Metazoa; Arthropoda; Insecta; Diptera; Culicidae
Exons: 3
Source: RefSeq, a predicted model, not a curated record